UGUGACGGCAGCCGGCGGCCACGGCAUUGCCGUGGCCUGUGACCAUGGCGAUGAUGUCCAGGUGGCGGCGCUGUUCGAGCGUGUGCGCCGCGA
RNAcentral lists this transfer RNA (93 nucleotides) under Comamonas thiooxydans. Its description in RNAcentral is "tRNA-Thr". Lineage: Bacteria; Pseudomonadati; Pseudomonadota; Betaproteobacteria; Burkholderiales; Comamonadaceae. The record is from RNAcentral.